This is a long non-coding RNA of Choloepus didactylus (southern two-toed sloth), 807 nucleotides long. RefSeq lists it as uncharacterized. The transcript has 5 exons. The record is from RefSeq and is a predicted model, not a curated record. NCBI's taxonomy places the organism in Eukaryota, Metazoa, Chordata, Mammalia, Pilosa, Megalonychidae.
GUGGGGGCUGCCCUCAGGAAAGGUCUCCUUCUUCACUGGAUGGCUGGGAAAUUAAGGCCCCUUUGUACCUGUCUGGGGUGGGCCCUGGAAGCAGUUGAAGAAUCCCAGUACUUCCGUGUGUUACUCGUCUAGUCAACGGUAAAUCUCAGACCCAGGAGGCAAAGGCGACUUCCUCAAGGUUACACGGAACAUUUGCUCUCGGAGCCCUGACAUGCCUUCGGAGGCACUGUCUGAGUGCUAAGAAGUCCAACCACCCUGAGGCUGCCAUGCCGGACAUGAAAUGUCCCCGUCAAGCGCAGCCAUCCCAGUCAAGGCACAGACCCUCCAGCCCAGCCCAGCUGCUGAGUCCUUUGGGUGACCUCUACCAAGGACACGUGGAAGAGAAAAGUUGCCUGGCCGAGCCCUGCCUGAAUCCUAGCCUACAAAAGCAUGAGACACUCGUACCAGUGUUUUAAGCGCUCUCCCUUGGCCGAGAUUCCCAGUUGGCAACCUCCUGGCGGACAAGGCCCGCUAACUGCUAACUGCGCUCCAGAGGGACAGCACGAGACGGAGGAGGCACCGUCUGGAAGCACAGCGGAGGUGCGUCUGUAGGAGGGGGCACGUAAGCUGAGUCCUGAGGCAUGACCGGGAGUUUGCCAGAGAGGAAGAUGAGAGAGAAGGCAGUCUGGGAAGAGGGAGCAGUGGGGGCCAAGGCCGAGCGUACCAGGGACCCACGUGGAGUUGGAGCCACCAGGGAAGUUAACUGGUGACCACAGCAUCUCUAUUUCUUCUGGAGGGAUUGGGUAGCUGGGAGAGGAGGUGGUGGGG